AAAUAAGAAGCAUAUUAAUGCGUUUAAUUUCGACUUAAAAAAUAGAGUAAAUUUUCUACUCCUUAUUUA
RNAcentral lists this transfer RNA (69 nucleotides) under Westermannia superba. Its description in RNAcentral is "tRNA-Arg". The record is from RNAcentral. Lineage: Eukaryota; Metazoa; Arthropoda; Insecta; Lepidoptera; Nolidae.